GAACGCUGGCGGCGUGCUUAACACAUGCAAGUCGAACGAAGCACUUUAUUUGAUUUCCUUCGGGACUGAUUAUUUUGUGACUGAGUGGCGGACGGGUGAGUAACGCGUGGGUAACCUGCCUUGUACAGGGGGGAUAACAGUUGGAAACGGCUGCUAAUACCGCAUAAGUGCACAGCAUCGCAUGAUGCAGUGUGAAAAAACUCCGGUGGUAUGAGAUGGACCCGCGUCUGAUUAGCUGGUUGGUGAGGUAACGGCCCACCAAGGCGACGAUCAGUAGCCGGCCUGAGAGGGUGAACGGCCACAUUGGGACUGAGACACGGCCCAAACUCCUACGGGAGGCAGCAGUGGGGAAUAUUGCACAAUGGGGGAAACCCUGAUGCAGCAACGCCGCGUGAGUGAAGAAGUAUUUCGGUAUGUAAAGCUCUAUCAGCAGGAAAGAAAAUGACGGUACCUGACUAAGAAGCCCCGGCUAACUACGUG
RNAcentral lists this ribosomal RNA (480 nucleotides) under uncultured bacterium. RNAcentral's name for it is "bacterial SSU rRNA". It matches the Rfam family "Bacterial small subunit ribosomal RNA", at positions 31 to 507 of the family's 1533-position model. The record is from RNAcentral.